UUUCGAUGUGAGUAUAUUGUAUCUUUACUCGUCUCCAGAUAGAUUGUUACUAACAACGGAGUUAAAAACGCAACUUUCGUGUGUUAACUUUCAAAGCUUUUGUCUCAGUUUUUGUUUAUUGUGGGAAUGGAACUUUUUAUCGCGCGAUGAUAUUGCUGGAUGUUUUGGAAUCAAUACAGGGUUGUAUUGGCUGAUGUUUGCAAAAUUAAAUCAAAAUCGUCGGAGUCAUUAUUGAAGAAAUUGCAAUAAUUAUAAAAAAUCAUAUUGGAAGUAUCUUUUCUCAAAGGGGAUAUUGAAAGCAGAAACCAUUGAAUAAUUACAAAUAAAAGUGGCACGGCAGAUUACUUAUGCGACUAUAGGAUCACCGGAAUUUAGAUAAACUGCAGGGUUUCGCCUCAACUAUCAUUGUAUUUUGGAGUUGCCUCUAAACUAAUCAUGAAAAAUUUUAUAAUUAUUAUUUUUCAACAUUUUCAAGGGUAAUUUUCAUUGGACCUCUGUAACAGUUGAAUUUUCUGUAGAUAGUAUUUGUUUCAAAAUUUUCUUUGACUUAUAACCUGUUUUCACUAGAGCCCAAAUGAGAUAAUUUCGCAAAUGAGGUCAGUUCAGAUUUCAAAUUAAAUUUUUUUACAUUCGAAAUGAGAUAAUUUGGUUAAUUAUCUAGUGAAACAGGCUUGUCGCAACAGAAUCUUAAAUGAAAAUUUUUAGACCAAAUUGAAACUUAGAAAUGUUAUUAUUAAACUUAAUUAUAUGAAGUAGUUGUCGACCAGGCAGACUGCAAAACCAUACCUUAAAGAUUAAAAUACUAUCAAAACAAAUAACAUCUAACUAAAACUACAUAAAUCAAUAGAUUUUUCUUCUUUGAAAUUAGAUUGAAAUUUUUUUUUGUUUUUGACUUGAUUCUGAGUUUUAUUUA
Long non-coding RNA from Episyrphus balteatus (marmalade hoverfly), 913 nucleotides. RefSeq lists it as uncharacterized. The record is from RefSeq and is a predicted model, not a curated record. The transcript is spliced from 3 exons. Lineage: Eukaryota; Metazoa; Arthropoda; Insecta; Diptera; Syrphidae.